Molecule: ribosomal RNA, 503 nt
Filed under: uncultured bacterium
Lineage: Bacteria
Description: partial 16S ribosomal RNA
Rfam family: Bacterial small subunit ribosomal RNA
Source: RNAcentral
ACUCAAAUGAAUUGACGGGGGUCCGCACAAGCGGUGGAACAUGUGGUUUAAUUCGACACUACGCGAGGAACCUUACCUAGGCUUGACAUAUGCCUGACCGCUCUAGAGAUAGAGCUUUCCAGGAGUAAUCUUGGACAGGUUUACAGGUGCUGCAUGGCUGUCGUCAGCUCGUGUCGUGAGAUGUUGGGUUAAGUCCUUUAACGAGCGCAACUCCUGCUGUCAGUUGCAAUCCCGUGAGGGAGCACUCUGAUGGGACUGCCUGGGAAACCAGGAGGAAGGUGGGAAUGACGUCAAGUCCGCAUGGUCCUUAUGCCUAGGGCUACACACGUGUUACAAUGGCUAAUACAAAGAGUUGCAAGCUCGUAAGAGUAAGCUAAUCUCAUAAAGUUAGUCUAAGUUCGGAUUGAGGUCUGCAAUUCGACCUCAUGAAGUUGAAAUCGCUAGUAAUCGCGUAUCAGAACGACGCGGUGAAUACGUUCUCGGACCUUGUACACACCGCCCGU